Molecule: small nucleolar RNA, 78 nt
Filed under: Erinaceus europaeus (western European hedgehog)
Lineage: Eukaryota; Metazoa; Chordata; Mammalia; Eulipotyphla; Erinaceidae
Description: Small nucleolar RNA snR60/Z15/Z230/Z193/J17 (ENSEEUG00000023502.1)
Source: RNAcentral
AGCAUACAAUGAUGACAACAUAGUUGAACAAACAGUGGUGAGCACACUUAAAUCAUUCGCUCCUAUAUGCUGUAUCUG